RNAcentral lists this ribosomal RNA (600 nucleotides) under uncultured Actinomycetes bacterium. RNAcentral describes it as "bacterial SSU rRNA". It matches the Rfam family "Bacterial small subunit ribosomal RNA", at positions 252 to 866 of the family's 1533-position model. The record is from RNAcentral. Lineage: Bacteria; Bacillati; Actinomycetota; Actinomycetes.
GUGAGGUAAUAGCUCACCAAGGCAUCGACGGGUAGCUAGUCUGAGAGGACGAUUAGCCACACUGGAACUGAGACACGGUCCAGACUCCUACGGGGGGCAGCAGUGGGGAAUCUUGCGCAAUGGGCGAAAGCCUGACGCAGCCACGCCGCGUGAGGGAUGACGGCUCUCGGGUUGUAAACCUCUUUCAGCAGGGACGAAAAUGACGGUACCUGCAGAAGAAGCCCCGGCCAACUACGUGCCAGCAGCCGCGGUAACACGUAGGGGGCGAGCGUUGUCCGGAUUUAUUGGGCGUAAAGAGCUCGUAGGCGGUUCAGUAAGUCAGAUGUGAAAGUCCAAGGCUCAACCUUGGAAAGCCAUUUGAUACUGCUGUGACUUGAGUCCGGUAGGGGAGUGUGGAAUUCCUGGUGUAGCGGUGAAAUGCGCAGAUAUCAGGAGGAGCACCAGCGGCGAAGGCGGCACUCUGGGCCGGUACUGACGCUAAGGAGCGAAAGCAUGGGGAGCAAACAGGAUUAGAUACCCUGGUAGUCCAUGCCGUAAACGUUGGGCACUAGGUGUGGGACCUUAUUAACGGGUUCCGUGCCGUAGCUAACGCAUUAAGUG